RNAcentral lists this long non-coding RNA (1787 nucleotides) under Homo sapiens (human). RNAcentral describes it as "non-protein coding lnc-PPM1M-2:4". The record is from RNAcentral. Lineage: Eukaryota; Metazoa; Chordata; Mammalia; Primates; Hominidae.
CGCCGUGCGCACGCCAGCGCGUUCCUCUGUGGCAGGAGAGGGGGGCCUGCGUGUGACCGAGCGUGCGUGGGAGGACGCGCGUGUGUGUCUGUGCGCCCUGAUCACGGUGGUCUGUGGGUGGGGCGGAUCGUGCGCGCGCGCCCGAUCUGUGCGCCCCAAGCCAGCAGCCUUGCCUUACUGGUACCAGUACCUGCCUGCUGCUACCAACUAGUCAACAUGUGGCAUCUUCCAGGCCACUGUGAUGAGUCAGGGAUGAGCAUCUGACUCUGGUUGGUCCAAUCAGCUUGUCCAGGGACUUUGGCUGGGAAGAUUGGAAAGGAGGCCAGCUUUUUGGGCUGGGGUUGCUGAGAGAUGUGAUGAUGAAAUGUGUGGCCUACCUGGCAUCUGGCCCCAGCUUCAGCUCCAUUUACUGUCUUGCUCCCCACCCUCACUAGCCUGCAUUGAGGCCUCCUCUGUGCCCCCCAACCCCUGAGUUUCUCAUCCCCAGAGAGCCCAGCUACACAGAAUUGAAGGGUUUUCUCAUUCAUCUUCCUGCGCUCACCCUGAAGACUGGGCCUAUGUCAUCUGCUAACCACUGUCCCCCCAGCACUCACAGUGGAAAAUGGAGUGUUAUGCAGCCCUGCAGCUUGCCUUCUAGAACAGUUCACAGGCAAGGCCUCCCACACUGAACCCUGCUACAGCCAGAUGGUGCCAGCAACACAGAGCUACUUGUUACAUCAGCUCAGACUAAGCCACACCCACAGGAGCAUCUGGUGAUUCCACAGAACCACAAGAGACUUGACCUCCUGGAAAUGAAUUAACCAAGAUUAAUGAAAAAGAUUAAGGUCAUGUGCCCUGUAAAAAUGUCCCUCACUGGAUGAACUGUGACAAAGUAGGGUACUGCGUGGUCUCCCCAGCUGACCCUCUCCAUGGGUCAUUCUUUGCUUUUAUCACUACCUGGCACAAAUCUUUACGUAUUUGUUUAUCGUCUUCCCUCCACCAGUAGUUAGGUGUUUGCCCUUGCUGUAUCCCCUGUGCCUAGAACAGUGCCCAACAUUGGCAGGUGGCCAAUAAUUGCAAAAUAAGCAAAUGUAUGAAUGAACCAUUAGAUGCUUUGUGUUGUAUACUUACUACCUGCUGGGCACAUUUAUUUAAUCCUCAUGACAGCCCCUGAAGUAGGUGUUACUUUUUCCAUCUUACAGAUAAAGACUCUGAGGUUUGGAGAGGUGAAGUGAUUUGAUCAAUGUCACAUGGUAGUGAGUGAGGCCAAGAAUCAUAGUUUCAUUUUAUUCGAGAAGUUGGGGGCCAGGUACAGUGGCUCAUGCCUGUAAUCCUAACACUUUGGGAGGCCAGGGUGGGAAGAUCUCUUGAGCCUAGGAGUUUGAGACCAGCCUGGACAACAACAUGGUGAGACUCCAUCUCUACAAAAAAAAAAAAAAAAUUAUUUUAAAAUUAGCCAGGCAUGGUGAUGUACACCUGUAGUUCCAGCUACUUGGCUGAGACAGGAGGACUGCUUGAGGCCAGGAAUUCAAGACCAGCCUGGUAAAGAUGGCAAGACCCCAUCUCUACAUAUAUAUAUCUAUAGAUAGAUAGAUAGAUUAAUAGAUAGAUAUGUAUUAGCCAGGCACAGUCACACAUGUUUGUAGUCCCAGCUACUUGGGAGGCUAAGGCAGGAGGAUCACCUGAGCCCAGGAGUUAAGGGCUGCAGUGAGCCGUGAUCACACCACUGCAUUCCAGUUUGGGUGACAGAGUGAGGCUCUCUUAAAAAAUUUAAAAAUACUGAAGAAACAAAGGGAGGAGUUUGUAGA